CGAAUGCUGACAUAAGUAACGAUAAAGCGGGUGAAAAGCCCGCUCGCCGGAAGACCAAGGGUUCCUGUCCAACGUUAAUCGGGGCAGGGUGAGUCGACCCCUAAGGCGAGGCCGAAAGGCGUAGUCGAUGGGAAACAGGUUAAUAUUCCUGUACUUGGUGUUACUGCGAAGGGGGGACGGAGAAGGCUAUGUUGGCCGGGCGACGGUUGUCCCGGUUUAAGCGUGUAGGCUGGUUUUCCAGGCAAAUCCGGAAAAUCAAGGCUGAGGCGUGAUGACGAGGCACUACGGUGCUGAAGCAACAAAUGCCCUGCUUCCAGGAAAAGCCUCUAAGCAUCAGGUAACAUCAAAUCGUACCCCAAACCGACACAGGUGGUCAGGUAGAGAAUACCAAGGCGCUUGAGAGAACUCGGGUGAAGGAACUAGGCAAAAUGGUGCCGUAACUUCGGGAGAAGGCACGCUGAUAUGUAGGUGAAGCGACUUGCUCGUGGAGCUGAAAUCAGUCGAAGAUACCAGCUGGCUGCAACUGUUUAUUAAAAACACAGCACUGUGCAAACACGAAAGUGGACGUAUACGGUGUGACGCCUGCCCGGUGCCGGAAGGUUAAUUGAUGGGGUUAGCGGUAACGCGAAGCUCUUGAUCGAAGCCCCGGUAAACGGCGGCCGUAACUAUAACGGUCCUAAGGUAGCGAAAUUCCUUGUCGGGUAAGUUCCGACCUGCACGAAUGGCGUAAUGAUGGCCAGGCUGUCUCCACCCGAGACUCAGUGAAAUUGAACUCGCUGUGAAGAUGCAGUGUACCCGCGGCAAGACGGAAAGACCCCGUGAACCUUUACUAUAGCUUGACACUGAACAUUGAGCCUUGAUGUGUAGGAUAGGUGGGAGGCUUUGAAGUGUGGACGCCAGUCUGCAUGGAGCCGACCUUGAAAUACCACCCUUUAAUGUUUGAUGUUCUAACGUUGACCCGUAAUCCGGGUUGCGGACAGUGUCUGGUGGGUAGUUUGACUGGGGCGGUCUCCUCCUAAAGAGUAACGGAGGAGCACGAAGGUUGGCUAAUCCUGGUCGGACAUCAGGAGGUUAGUGCAAUGGCAUAAGCCAGCUUGACUGCGAGCGUGACGGCGCGAGCAGGUGCGAAAGCAGGUCAUAGUGAUCCGGUGGUUCUGAAUGGAAGGGCCAUCGCUCAACGGAUAAAAGGUACUCCGGGGAUAACAGGCUGAUACCGCCCAAGAGUUCAUAUCGACGGCGGUGUUUGGCACCUCGAUGUCGGCUCAUCACAUCCUGGGGCUGAAGUAGGUCCCAAGGGUAUGGCUGUUCGCCAUUUAAAGUGGUACGCGAGCUGGGUUUAGAACGUCGUGAGACAGUUCGGUCCCUAUCUGCCGUGGGCGCUGGAGAACUGAGGGGGGCUGCUCCUAGUACGAGAGGACCGGAGUGGACGCAUCACUGGUGUUCGGGUUGUCAUGCCAAUGGCACUGCCCGGUAGCUAAAUGCGGAAGAGAUAAGUGCUGAAAGCAUCUAAGCACGAAACUUGCCCCGAGAUGAGUUCUCCCUGACUCCUUGAGAGUCCUGAAGGAACGUUGAAGACGACGACGUUGAUAGGCCGGGUGUGUAAGCGCAGCGAUGCGUUGAGCUAACCGGUACUAAUGAACCGUGAGGCUUAACCUUACAAC
RNAcentral lists this ribosomal RNA (1661 nucleotides) under Escherichia coli. Its description in RNAcentral is "partial 23S ribosomal RNA". It matches the Rfam family "Bacterial large subunit ribosomal RNA", at positions 1291 to 2925 of the family's 2925-position model. The record is from RNAcentral. Lineage: Bacteria; Pseudomonadati; Pseudomonadota; Gammaproteobacteria; Enterobacterales; Enterobacteriaceae.